AGGGCGCCGGGCGGCCGCAGGCGGCUUGACCGUCUGAGGAAAGUCCGAGCUCCAUAGGGCAGGGUGCCGGUUAACUGCCGGUGGAGGCGACUCCAAGGAAAGUGCAACAGAGAUAUACCGCGAAUCCCCCUUUGGGGGGACGCAAGGGUGGAAAGGCGAGGUAAGAGCUCACCAGCGGCUUGGCGACUUGUCCGCUCUGUAAACCCCACCUGGCGCAAGAUUGAUAGGGGAGCACAUGCGGCGGCCCGUCGCGCUCCCGGGUAAUCGCUUGAGCCCGCUGGCAACCGCGGGCCUAGAUAGAUGGCCGUCCAAGACAGAACUCGGCUUAUAGACG
RNAcentral lists this RNase P RNA (334 nucleotides) under Candidatus Pullichristensenella stercorigallinarum. RNAcentral's name for it is "Bacterial RNase P class A". It matches the Rfam family "Bacterial RNase P class A". Rfam says of the family: Ribonuclease P (RNase P) is a ubiquitous endoribonuclease, found in archaea, bacteria and eukarya as well as chloroplasts and mitochondria. Lineage: Bacteria; Bacillati; Bacillota; Clostridia. The record is from RNAcentral.